AGAGCACACUUCAACAUCACGCCUGGGCUCCAUUUUCCAGCUCUGUGCACACUGUGUGCUAAAUUCCUCUUCCACAUGCAAUCUAAAGAGAAAGACAAGCCUGCGAGAUUAAGUGGGGUCUCCUGGAGAGAAAAAUGGUGGAAAUACUGACUGGCUGUCAGUCUGUGGUGAAGAAAUAGUUCAAGAGGGACUCUGCACCUUCCAUUGAAACAUUGAUUGCUUUGAAACAAUUGCUGACCAAGCGACCAUGUGGACACAGUUGUUUGAUACAUGAGUGCCGGACAAAAACCAAGUCAUUGCAUCUUGAGUGCAAAAGGGUUGUUGCCCACAACAGCAGGUCCAGCAAUGUCCCUGCAACCUGCCCUUUCUACAUAGAACUCCAUUGGAUCUUGUGUAGCGAAACAAGCAUCAGACCCAACAGACUUGUCCAAAGGUUACACUUGUAAGUGCAGCAGGAACCCACCAUCCUACCCUUGGAAUUGCAGGAGGAUUCGGUUUAACUUUUCACCAUGAUUGCAUCAUCAUUAACGCCAAUGAUUUAUGGGACUCCACUUCUUCAAACUCAGAAAUUUCCACCCCGAAAUCUUUGACUGCAAAUAAAUAGGAAGAUGAUGAAACCCCAAUAGAAGAAUUGCAAGAAAACUUAGGACUCCGUGAUGUGUGUGUCUCUUAUUGUGAUUGGCGAGAGGGACACCUAAGGCACAAGUUUGUGCAUAACUAGUGGGGGCUUCGUCCAUCUGUGCCCUGGUGGCGCUGCCCUUGGUGGGCAUCAACAUCUUCCCAGAAAGUGCACUCCAGCUCAAACUUUGGCUGGCUGGUGGGAGUUGGUGGCCGGUGAGGGGUCGGCACCCCAGGGAAAACGCAGCGUAAUCCGGCAGGAGUCCUGGAGAAAGGAAGCGGAGGAAAGAGUGUAAGCGUGCAGGAGAAAUGAGGAAUUGUGUCUUCAAGCAGACAUAAAUGACAAAAUAAUCCAGCGACACCCACCAUGAAUGAGAAGGAAGUAGGGA
This is a long non-coding RNA of Eublepharis macularius, 1007 nucleotides long. RefSeq lists it as uncharacterized. The record is from RefSeq and is a predicted model, not a curated record. The transcript has 4 exons. Lineage: Eukaryota; Metazoa; Chordata; Lepidosauria; Squamata; Eublepharidae.